Molecule: ribosomal RNA, 75 nt
Filed under: Tricholoma flavovirens
Lineage: Eukaryota; Fungi; Basidiomycota; Agaricomycetes; Agaricales; Tricholomataceae
Description: partial 28S ribosomal RNA
Rfam family: Eukaryotic large subunit ribosomal RNA
Source: RNAcentral
UUGACCUCAAUCAGGUAGGACUACCCGCUGAACUUAAGCAUAUCAAUAAGCGGAGGAAAAGAAACUAACAAGGAU